ACCCAUCUGACGGGUCGCAAAUAGGAUGAAACGCGCAUCGUGGAU
This 45-nucleotide non-coding RNA is filed under the name Schistosoma mattheei. The record is from RNAcentral. Lineage: Eukaryota; Metazoa; Platyhelminthes; Trematoda; Strigeidida; Schistosomatidae.